GACGAACGCUGGCGGCGUGCUUAACACAUGCAAGUCGAACGGAAAGGCCCUGCUUUUGUGGUGUGCUCGAGUGGCGAAAGGGUGAGUAACACGUGAGUAUCCUGCCCUUGACUUUGGGAUAACUUCAGGAAACUGGGGCGAAUACCGGAUAGGAGCUCCUGCUGCAUGGUGGGGGUUGGAAAGUUUCGGCGGUUGGGGAUGGAUUGGCGGCUUAUCAGCGUGUUGGUGGGGUAGUGGCUGACCAAGGCUUUGACGGGUAGCCGGACUGAGAGGGUGACCGGCCACAUAGGGCCUGAGAAACGGCCCGGAGGGAUACGGGCGGCAGGGGCGGGGAUUAGUGCGAACAGCGCGGCGGGAGGAAGCAGGAAUGUCGGGUGGGAGAUCACGGCUUUCGGGUAGUAACCAGUUUUCGAGUGAGAGUUAGCGUGUGGAAGGGUACUGGCCAGAGAGGCACGGCUUACUUCGGU
RNAcentral lists this ribosomal RNA (467 nucleotides) under uncultured bacterium. RNAcentral describes it as "partial 16S ribosomal RNA". It matches the Rfam family "Bacterial small subunit ribosomal RNA", at positions 28 to 507 of the family's 1533-position model. The record is from RNAcentral.